This 780-nucleotide ribosomal RNA is filed under the name uncultured Neocallimastigales. RNAcentral describes it as "partial large subunit ribosomal RNA". It matches the Rfam family "Eukaryotic large subunit ribosomal RNA", at positions 24 to 635 of the family's 3401-position model. The record is from RNAcentral. Lineage: Eukaryota; Fungi; Neocallimastigomycota; Neocallimastigomycetes; Neocallimastigales.
UAUCUCUGUAGAGUCUGCAUAUCAAUAAGCGGAGGAAAAGAAACUAACUAGGAUUCCCUUAGUAACGGCGAGUGAAGCGGGAAGAGCUCAAAUUUGAAAUCUUCAAGGUUCUACCUUGACGAAUUGUAGUUUAAAGAAGUGUUUUCUGUUAGAGUGAGUAGCAAAAGUUCCUUGGAAUAGGGACAUCAUAGAGGGUGAGAAUCCCGUAUUUGGUUAUUCAUUCUAGCUUUGUGAUACACUUUCAAAGAGUCGGAUUGUUUGGGAAUGCAGUCCAAAAUGGGUGGUAAAUUUCAUCUAAAGCUAAAUAUUGGCGAGAGACCGAUAGCGAACAAGUACCGUGAGGGAAAGAUGAAAAGAACUUUGAAAAGAGAGUUAAACAGUACGUGAAAUUGUCAAAAGGGAAGCGUUUGACACCAGUGUUGUUUUCUCGAAAAUCAAUUAAAAAUGGCAUGAUUUUGUGUUGUAUUGACCUUUAAUCAAGCUUUCUUCACUCUUUUCAUCGUCUUUUUUAAUGCACUUUUCGUUUAACAAGUCAACAUCAAUUUCUUUUGUUGUAAAAGGGUCAUUGGAAGGUGGCUUUCUUUUCGGAGAAAGUGUUUAUAGCCUUUGGCCUCUGCAAUCGGAGAGAUUGAGGUCUGCAGCGUAGAUCCUUCGGGGUUAGAUACAUUUGUGCUAAGUUAUAGCCUUUCAUAGACAACUUGUUGACUAUGAUCAGUCAUGUAGCUUACUCGCUUAUGCUAUUUUACCUACGCUUAGGAUGUUGAAGAUGUAGCACAUCAU